GACGAACGCUGGCGGCGUGCUUAACACAUGCAAGUCGAACGGGUCUGCCCUGUUUUUUGCGGGGUGGGUCAGUGGCGAACGGGUGAGUAACACGUGAGUAACCUGCCCCUCACUUCUGGAUAACCGCUUGAAAGGGUGGCUAAUACGGGGUGUUCUGGCUGUGCCGCAUGGUGUGGCUGGGAAAGAUUCACUUUUGUGGUGUUUUGGUGGGGGAUGGGCUCGCGGCCUAUCAGCUUGUUGGUGGGGUGAUGGCCUGCCAAGGCUUUGACGGGUAGCCGGCCUGAGAGGGUGGGCGGUCACACUGGGACUGAGAUACGGCCCAGACUCCUGCGGGAGGCAGCAGUGGGGGGUAUUGCACAAGGGGCGGAAGCCUGAUGCAGCGACGUCGCGUGAGGGAUGGAGGCCUGCGGGUUGUGAACCUCUUUCGCCGGUGAAGAAGGUCCUGCUCUUUGUGGUGGGGUUGACGGUAGCCGGGUUAUGAAGCGCCGGCUAACUACGUG
RNAcentral lists this ribosomal RNA (500 nucleotides) under uncultured bacterium. RNAcentral's name for it is "partial 16S ribosomal RNA". It matches the Rfam family "Bacterial small subunit ribosomal RNA", at positions 28 to 507 of the family's 1533-position model. The record is from RNAcentral.